GNANUANCAUUACNAGCGAAACUGCGAAUGGCUCAUUAUAUAAGUUAUCGUUUAUUUGAUAGUACCUUACUACAUGGAUAACCGUGGUAAUUCUAGAGCUAAUACAUGCUGAAAAUCCCGACUUCGGAAGGGAUGUAUUUAUUAGAUUCAAAACCAAUGCCCUUCGGGGCUCCAAUGGUGAUUCAUGAUAACUUCUCGAAUCGCACGGCCCCGCGCCGGCGAUGGUUCAUUCAAAUUUCUUCCCUAUCAACUUUCGAUGCUACGGUAGUGUCCUAGCAUGGUUGCAACGGGUAACGGGGAANUUUUGAAUGAACCAUCGCCGGCGCGGGGCCNGAUUCGAGANGUUUCAUGAAUCCCAUUGGAGCCCCGAAGGGNUUGGUUNGAAUCUAUAAAUAAUCCUUCCGAAGUCGGGAUUUUNGNUGUUUAGCUCUAGAAUUACCGGNUAUCAUGUGUNGGUAUAUCAAUANGGAUAACUUAUAUAAUGAGCAUUGNGUUUCNUUNGUAUUGUUAUACUUAGAAUGCUGGUUAAUCUUUGAGAAAGNUAUGACA
Molecule: ribosomal RNA, 549 nt
Filed under: uncultured fungus
Lineage: Eukaryota; Fungi
Description: partial 18S ribosomal RNA
Rfam family: Eukaryotic small subunit ribosomal RNA (bases 1-372)
Source: RNAcentral